This is a non-coding RNA of Termitomyces sp. T32_za158, 89 nucleotides long. Lineage: Eukaryota; Fungi; Basidiomycota; Agaricomycetes; Agaricales; Lyophyllaceae. The record is from the annotation of a GenBank genome assembly.
GGCCGUGUGGCGAAAUGGCAUCGCGUCUGACUACGAUAUGGACAUUGUCUGGCAUCAGGAGAUUGCAGGUUCGACCCCUGUCUCGGUCA